AAUCAACGCUGGCGGCGUGCCUAACACAUGCAAGUCGAGCGCGAAAGCGGGGCAACCCGCAAGUAGAGCGGCGAACGGGUGAGUAACGCGUGGGUGAUCUACCUCCGAGUGGGGAACAACAUCGGGAAACUGGUGCUAAUACCGCAUGACAUCCUCAGGUCACACUGAGGAUCAAAGCCGGGGACCGUAAGGCCUGGCGCUUGGAGAGGAGCCCGCGUCCGAUUAGCAGUUGGCGGGGUAACGGCCCACCAAGGCGACGAUCGGUAGCCGGCCUGAGAGGGCGGACGGCCACACUGGGACUGCGACACGGCCCAGACUCCUACGGGAGGCAGCAGUGGGGAAUUUUUCGCAAUGGGCGCAAGCCUGACGAAGCAACGCCGCGUGGGGAUGAAGGUCUUCGGAUUGU
RNAcentral lists this ribosomal RNA (406 nucleotides) under uncultured bacterium. Its description in RNAcentral is "bacterial SSU rRNA". It matches the Rfam family "Bacterial small subunit ribosomal RNA", at positions 29 to 426 of the family's 1533-position model. The record is from RNAcentral.